AGCACAAUUAGACUAGAUUAAACCCAAUAUAAUUAGGCUUAAUUAGGCUCAAUAAAAUCCUAAUCAAAUCAGGAAUUAACUAAACCUAACCCCUGAUCAAAUCAGGGACUAAACCACCUUAGCGAUUAGGUCAACAUUUUACCUAAUCGGGUCAAUCCAAACUGAAUCCAAUUCAAUUGGACUUGAUCCAAAAAUAAUUACUCAAUCAAAUUGAGUUAAUUAGUAAUUAAAUUACUAAUUAAAUCUCUCAUAAAUAUUGAGUUCAAAUCCGAUGGGCAAUCAGGCAUCAGAGACCAUCGAUAUGAAACCCUAAUCAAAGAGUUCAAAUUUCAAAUUCAAAAUUUGAAAUUCAAAAUUUUGACCCCGAUACCCAAAAUGUGUGGAACUCAUGAUUAGAGAAUCCUAAUUGUCAAUCAUAGAGUCUCAGAUAGAUAAGACUCAUAAUCAGCCAUCAGAUCAGAAAGGAACCUCUAAUGUGUGUGACCCCGCAGGUUCGAACCUAAACCGGUAGCACAGGAAUCAAUUCCUGUACUAAUCGAAGUGACCAUCUAGCAAUGGUACCCGACAAUCGGAUAGAUCGAAUAAUCACAAUCGCAACAUUCAGAACCUACGUGAAUAUGGUUACCGUAUAAUUCAUCCCUUUUGACCCCUGUGUUUAGGAUGACUCAGGGUUAAACUGUCAACCCUGAUGAUAUCAUCCGAAUCGUGCUCAACUCAAUUAGUCCUGUGACUCCUCACUAGGACUAUCCUGGCCAAGAUUUUGCUAAAUUGAAACACGACUGUACACAGCUCCUAAACUGGAGUGGUCAAUCCCAUCUUGACACACGCACCGACAAGUCAAGCACUUGACUACACCCAGCAACCUUCCGUCACUGAAUUAAAAAUUCAGGUAGUCCAGUGCAGUGAGUUGCUUGCAAGUCACCAUGGCGGUCUCAGGUCAGAGGGAUAUUUAUAUCCAUAUCCCAUCGGAGCAAAUCUUGACAGCAGAAAUAGCUCCGGAGUUGGUCACGUUCAGUGCAGAUGUACCAUUACAUCUCACCUGUAUGCCAUACCAGUGUCUCCACACUCUUUGGUUAUGAGGACAACCAACCCAUAUGGCACACAACAACCUAUGCUCGAUAAACGUUGUCAUCCUUGGUAACAACGUAUCAUUUGAUCACGAACAUGUUUAAGGACUAAGCGACAAAUCCUCCUUUGUCGAGUCUAAAUAGUCCUAAGGACUUCACCACAACACAGGAGUUCAUUAGAAGAUGAAACAUUUAUGAUGAAAAAAUACCAAAAUAACUUUUAUUUAUUUAUAAUUCAUGUACUAAUACAAAAAGGAGCACAACCGUCAACAGGCUGACGAUUGGCUUUGGGACACUAUUCCC
This 1370-nucleotide long non-coding RNA is filed under the name Elaeis guineensis (African oil palm). RNAcentral describes it as "long non-coding RNA (EGUI_LNC082717)". Lineage: Eukaryota; Viridiplantae; Streptophyta; Magnoliopsida; Arecales; Arecaceae. The record is from RNAcentral.